This 118-nucleotide microRNA precursor is filed under the name Medicago truncatula (barrel medic). RNAcentral describes it as "miR2633 stem-loop (mtr-MIR2633)". The record is from miRBase by way of RNAcentral. Lineage: Eukaryota; Viridiplantae; Streptophyta; Magnoliopsida; Fabales; Fabaceae.
UUGACUAAACAAUGUUAUGUUAGUCUUGAUCAAAGUGUGAUCUCUGUAGUCCCUAACUUCUAAGGUUAGCGGAUUCUAAGAUGACAUUUUGCUCCAGAUUCACAUAACGUUUAUUCAU